UACGGAAGGCAGCAGUGGGGAAUAUUGCACAAUGGGCGAAAGCCUGAUGCAGCUAUGCCGCGUGUAUGAAGAAGGCCUUAGGGUUGUAAAGUACUUUCAGCGGGGAGGAAGGCGAUGCGGUUAAUAACCGCGUCGAUUGACGUUACCCGCAGAAGAAGCACCGGCUAACUCCGUGCCAGCAGCCGCGGUAAUACGGAGGGUGCAAGCGUUAAUCGGAAUUACUGGGCGUAAAGCGCACGCAGGCGGUCUGUUAAGUCAGAUGUGAAAUCCCCCGGGCUUAACCUGGGAACUGCAUUUUGAAACUGGCAGGCUUGAGUCUUGUAGAGGGGGUAGAAUUCCAGGUGUAGCGGUGAAAUGCGUAGAGAUCUGGAGGAAUACCGGUGGCGAAGGCGGCCCCUGGGACAAGACUGACGCUCAGGUGCGAAAGCGUGGGGAGCAAACGAGGAUUAGAUACCCGU
Molecule: ribosomal RNA, 458 nt
Filed under: uncultured bacterium
Lineage: Bacteria
Description: bacterial SSU rRNA
Rfam family: Bacterial small subunit ribosomal RNA
Source: RNAcentral